CCUACGGGAGACAGCAGUGGGGAAUAUUGGACAAUGGAGGGAACCCUGAUCCAGCGACGCAGCGUGAGUGAAGAAGUAUUUCGGUAUGUAAAGCUCUAUCAGCAGGGGAGAAAAUGACGGUACGUGAUUAAGAAGCCCCGGCUAACUACGUGCCAGCAGCCGCGGUAAUACGUAGGGGGCAGGGGUUAUCCGGAUUUACUGGGUGUAAAGGGGGCGUAGACGGCAGCACAAGUCUGGAGUGAAAUGCCGGGGCUUAACCCCGGAACUGCUUUGGAAACUGUGCAGCUAGAGUGCAGGAGAGGUAAGUGGAAUUCCUAGUGUAGCGGUGAAAUGCGUAGAUAUUAGGCGGAACACCAGUGGCGAAGGCGGCUUACUGGACUGUAACUGACGUUGAGGCUCGAAAGCGUGGGGAGCAAACAGGAUUAGAUACCCUAGUAGUC
This 440-nucleotide ribosomal RNA is filed under the name uncultured bacterium. RNAcentral's name for it is "partial 16S ribosomal RNA". It matches the Rfam family "Bacterial small subunit ribosomal RNA", at positions 338 to 795 of the family's 1533-position model. The record is from RNAcentral.